UACGUAGGUGGCAAGCGUUGUCCGGAUUUGCUGGGUGUAAAGGGAGCGUAGACGGACUUGCAAGUCUGAUGUGAAAAUCCGGGGCCCAACCCCGGAACUGCAUUGGAAACUGUAUAUCUAGAGUGUCGGAGAGGCAAGUGGAAUUCCUGGUGUAGCGGUGAAAUGCGUAGAUAUCAGGAGGAACACCAGUGGCGAAGGCGGCUUGCUGGACGAUGACUGACGUUGAGGCUCGAAAGCGUGGGGAGCAAACAGG
RNAcentral lists this ribosomal RNA (253 nucleotides) under uncultured bacterium. Its description in RNAcentral is "partial 16S ribosomal RNA". It matches the Rfam family "Bacterial small subunit ribosomal RNA", at positions 524 to 776 of the family's 1533-position model. The record is from RNAcentral.